This 352-nucleotide unclassified non-coding RNA is filed under the name soil metagenome. RNAcentral's name for it is "partial contains 5.8S ribosomal RNA, internal transcribed spacer 2, and large subunit ribosomal RNA". The stretch from base 1 to 120 matches the Rfam family "5.8S ribosomal RNA", at positions 35 to 154 of the family's 154-position model. The record is from RNAcentral.
GAUGAAGAACGUAGCGAAAUGUGAUAAGUAAUGUGAAUUGCAGAAUUCAGUGAAUCAUCGAAUCUUUGAACGCACAUUGCGCCCGCCAGUAUUCUGGCGGGCAUGCCUGUUCGAGCGUCAUUACAACCCUCAGGCCCCCGGGCCUGGCGUUGGGGAUCGGCGGAAGCCCCCUGUGGGCACACGCCGUCCCUCAAAUACAGUGGCGGUCCCGCCGCAGCUUCCAUUGCGUAGUAGCUAACACCUCGCAACUGGAGAGCGGCGCGGCCAUGCCGUAAAACACCCAACUUCUGAAUGUUGACCUCGAAUCAGGUAGGAAUACCCGCUGAACUUAAGCAUAUCAAUAAGCGGAGGA